GACGAACGCUGGCGGCGUGCUUAACACAUGCAAGUCGAACGGAAAGGCCCUGCUUUUGUGGGGUGCUCGAGUGGCGAACGGGUGAGUAACACGUGAGUAACCUGCCCUUGACUUUGGGAUAACUUCAGGAAACUGGGGCUAAUACCGGAUAGGAGCUCCUGCUGCAUGGUGGGGGUUGGAAAGUUUCGGCGGUUGGGGAUGGACUCGCGGCUUAUCAGCUUGUUGGUGGUGUAGUGGCUUACCAAGGCUUUGACGGGUAGCCGGCCUGAGAGGGUGACCGGCCACAUUGGGACUGUGAUACGGCCCAGACUCCUACGGGAGGCAGCAGUGGGGAAUAUUGCACGAUGGGCGGAAGCCUGAUGCAGCAACGCCGCGUGCGGGAUGACGGCCUUCGGGUUGUAAACCGCUUUCGCCUGUGACGAAGCGUGAGUGACGGUAAUGGGUAAAGAAGCACCGGCUAACUACGUG
This 468-nucleotide ribosomal RNA is filed under the name uncultured bacterium. RNAcentral's name for it is "partial 16S ribosomal RNA". It matches the Rfam family "Bacterial small subunit ribosomal RNA", at positions 28 to 507 of the family's 1533-position model. The record is from RNAcentral.